RNAcentral lists this long non-coding RNA (263 nucleotides) under Homo sapiens (human). Its description in RNAcentral is "HSALNT0324346". Lineage: Eukaryota; Metazoa; Chordata; Mammalia; Primates; Hominidae. The record is from RNAcentral.
AGGGGUUUGAGCACUGGGGCACCAGUGAAGUGGGCCAUCCCCCUGUCACAUGUCCUGCGAGGAGGAUAAGGGAAUUCUCUGGUUUUAACUUAAUCUGUAAAAGACCUUGCUAAGAGGAUGAAAAAGAAGCCACAGCAAUGGAUAAAACAUUUGUAAACUACAUAUCCAACAAAGGAAUAUUAUGACUGUUUCAAGAUUUGCAGAACUGUCUAUUUAACCCAUAGACUCAUGAGCAAUAAUAAAUUAUUAUUGCUUUAACCAGU